This 442-nucleotide ribosomal RNA is filed under the name uncultured bacterium. Its description in RNAcentral is "partial 16S ribosomal RNA". It matches the Rfam family "Bacterial small subunit ribosomal RNA", at positions 338 to 795 of the family's 1533-position model. The record is from RNAcentral.
CCUACGGGUGGCAGCAGUAGGGAAUCUUUCACAAUGGGCGAAAGCCUGAUGGAGCAACGCCGCGUGCAGGAUGAAGGCCUUCGGGUUGUAAACUGCUUUUAUAAGCGAGAAAUAUGAUGGUAACUUAUGAAUAAGGAUCGGCUAACUACGUGCCAGCAGCCGCGGUCAUACGUAGGAUCCGAGCAUUAUCCGGAGUGACUGGGUGUAAAGAGUUGCGUAGGUGGCAUAAUAAGUAGCUAGUGAAAUCUGGUGGCUCAACCAUUCAGACUAUUAGCUAAACUGUUAAGCUCGAGACCGUUAGGGGGAACUGGAAUUUCUAGUGUAGGAGUGAAAUCCGUAGAUAUUAGAAGGAACACCAAUAGCGUAGGCAGGUUGCUGGGACGGUUCUGACACUAAGGCUCGAAAGCGUGGGGAGCAAACAGGAUUAGAUACCCCAGUAGUC